RNAcentral lists this ribosomal RNA (253 nucleotides) under uncultured bacterium. Its description in RNAcentral is "partial 16S ribosomal RNA". It matches the Rfam family "Bacterial small subunit ribosomal RNA", at positions 524 to 776 of the family's 1533-position model. The record is from RNAcentral.
UACGUAGGGGGCUAGCGUUGUCCGGAAUCAUUGGGCGUAAAGCGCGUGUAGGCGGUCCGGUAAGUCCGCUGUGAAAUCUCGAGGCUCAACUUCGAGCUGUCGGUGGAAACUGUCUGGCUAGAGUCCGGAAGAGGAGAAUGGAAUUCCUGGUGUAGCGGUGAAAUGCGUAGAUAUCAGGAGGAACACCGGCGGUGUAGACGGCUUGCUAGACCAUAACUGACGCUGAGGCACGAAAGCGUGGGUAGCAAACAGG